GACGAACGCUGGCGGCGUGCUUAACACAUGCAAGUCGAGGGUAACAAUACACUGGCGCAAGGGUGCGUAACGCGUGGAUUAUCUGCCCCAUACACUAACAUAACGCUUGGAAACGGGUAGCUAAUAUUAGAUGAGGUGCUUCGGCAUCAAAGUUUACGACGGUAUGGGAUGAGUCUGCGUCUGAUUAGCUAGUUGGUAGUGUAAUGGACUACCAAGGCGACGAUCAGUAGCUGGUCUGAGAGGAUGAUCAGCCACACUGGGACUGAGACACGGCCCAGACUCCUACGGGAGGCAGCAGUGGGGGAAUAUUGGACAAUGGGCGAAAGCCUGAUCCAGCAAUGCCGCGUGAGUGAUGAAGGCCUUAGGGUUGUAAAG
Molecule: ribosomal RNA, 375 nt
Filed under: uncultured bacterium
Lineage: Bacteria
Description: bacterial SSU rRNA
Rfam family: Bacterial small subunit ribosomal RNA
Source: RNAcentral